This 465-nucleotide ribosomal RNA is filed under the name uncultured bacterium. Its description in RNAcentral is "partial 16S ribosomal RNA". It matches the Rfam family "Bacterial small subunit ribosomal RNA", at positions 28 to 507 of the family's 1533-position model. The record is from RNAcentral.
GACGAACGCUGGCGGCGUGCUUAACACAUGCAAGUCGAACGGAACCGCCCUGCUUGCAGGGUACUCGGUUGGUAAACGGGUGAGUAACACGUUUGUGAUCUGCCCUGCACUUCGGGAUAGGUCUGGGAAACUGGGUCUAAUACCGGACAGGAGCCAUUUUUCGUUUGAUUGGUGGAGAGUUUUUUGGGUGUUGGAUGAGCUCGCGGCCUAUCCGCUUGUUGGUUGGGUAAAGGCCUACCGAGGCGGCGCGGGGUCGCCGGUCGGUGGAGGUGGACGGCCACCUGGGGAACUAGAAACGGCCCAGACCCCUACGGGAGGCAGCAGGGGGGAAUAUGGCACAAUGGGCGCAAGCCUGAUGCAGCGACGCCGAGUGGGGGGUGACGGCCGUCGGGUUGUAAACUCCUUUCGCUAGGGACGAAGCAUUUUGUGACGGUACCUAGAUAAGAAGCACCGGCUAACUACGGG